Molecule: ribosomal RNA, 524 nt
Filed under: uncultured bacterium
Lineage: Bacteria
Description: partial 16S ribosomal RNA
Rfam family: Bacterial small subunit ribosomal RNA
Source: RNAcentral
GACGAACGCUGGCGGCGUGCCUAAUACAUGCAAGUCGAACGAAGCUGUUUUAACUGGUGCUUGCACCGACUUAAACAACUGAGUGGCGAACGGGUGAGUAACACGUGGGUAACCUGCCCCAAAGCGGGGGAUAACAUUUGGAAACAGACGCUAAUACCGCAUAAUCACAGAAACCACAUGGUUUCUGUGUCAAAGAUGGUUUCGGCUAUCACUUUGGGAUGGACCCGCGGCGUAUUAGCUAGUUGGUAAGGUAAUGGCUUACAAAGGCAAUGAUACGUAGCCGAACUGAGAGGUUGAGCGGCCACAUUGGGACUGAGACACGGCCCAAACUCCUACGGGAGGCAGCAGUAGGGAAUCUUCCACAAUGGACGAAAGUCUGAUGGAGCAACGCCGCGUGAGUGAAGAAGGUUUUCGGAUCGUAAAACUCUGUUGUCAGAGAAGAACGUGUGCGAGAGUAACUGUUCGUGCAGUGACGGUAUCUGGCCAGAAAGCCACGGCUAACUACGUGCCAGCCGCCGCAGUAA